This 368-nucleotide long non-coding RNA is filed under the name Panax ginseng (ginseng). RNAcentral's name for it is "long non-coding RNA (PGIN_LNC001937)". The record is from RNAcentral. Lineage: Eukaryota; Viridiplantae; Streptophyta; Magnoliopsida; Apiales; Araliaceae.
CUGCUUGUUUGUAUGUAUCACUGUCAUUUGUGGAUGUUCCUAUCUGCCAGUUGUCAACUCCGGGUCUGAGGUGUGUUUGCCUCGACAGGAUGUCUGAGGUUGAAGCUGAUUGCAUAUGUUUGAAACAAGUAUUUUCGAGGUUCUCGCCGGAACUGCAAUGGCAUCUCUUGGGGCUAUCACCAAGGAUGGGGUUGCUACUCCCAGUGUUGUCUCUGGGACUGGAACUGAGCGUCGCAGUAUUAUCACCGAGACAAAACUGUCCUCUCCGGUGUUGUUGUCGGUCUUUUGAUCUGCAUAUCUCGGGGUUAUCUCCGAGAUUGGAAAUGACAUUCCCGGUGUGUGUUACGGGUUUGAGAUGAUGUUCCCGG